GAAAUGCGAUAAGUAAUGUGAAUUGCAGAAUUCAGUGAAUCAUCGAAUCUUUGAACGCACAUUGCGCCCCCUGGUAUUCCGGGGGGCAGGCCUGUUCGAGCGUCAUUUCACCACUCAAGCCUCGCUUGGUAUUGGGCGACGCGGUCCGCCGCGCGCCUCAAAUCGACCGGCUGGGUCUUCUGUCCCCUCAGCGUUGUCGAAACUAUUCGCUAAAGGGUGCCACGAGAGGCCACGCCGAAAAACAAACCCAUUUCUAAGGUUGACCUCGGAUCAGGCACGGAUACCCGCUGAACUUAA
This 297-nucleotide unclassified non-coding RNA is filed under the name uncultured Dothideomycetes. RNAcentral describes it as "sequence contains ITS1". The stretch from base 1 to 105 matches the Rfam family "5.8S ribosomal RNA", at positions 50 to 154 of the family's 154-position model. The record is from RNAcentral. Lineage: Eukaryota; Fungi; Ascomycota; Dothideomycetes.